This 497-nucleotide ribosomal RNA is filed under the name uncultured bacterium. RNAcentral describes it as "partial 16S ribosomal RNA". It matches the Rfam family "Bacterial small subunit ribosomal RNA", at positions 28 to 507 of the family's 1533-position model. The record is from RNAcentral.
GAUGAACGCUGGCGGCGUGCCUAAUACAUGCAAGUCGAGCGAACAGAUGAGGAGCUUGCUCCUCUGACGUUAGCGGCGGACGGGUGAGUAACACGUGGAUAACCUACCUAUAAGACUGGGAUAACUUCGGGAAACCGGAGCUAAUACCGGAUAAUAUAUUGAACCGCAUGGUUCAAUAGUGAAAGACGGUUUUGCUGUCACUUAUAGAUGGAUCCGCGCCGCAUUAGCUAGUUGGUAAGGUAACGGCUUACCAAGGCGACGAUGCGUAGCCGACCUGAGAGGGUGAUCGGCCACACUGGAACUGAGACACGGUCCAGACUCCUACGGGAGGCAGCAGUAGGGAAUCUUCCGCAAUGGGCGAAAGCUUGACGGAGCAACGCCGCGUGAGUGAUGAAGGUCUUUGGAUCGUAAAACUCUGUUAUUAGGGAAGAACAAAUGUGUAAGUAACUAUGCACGUCUUGACGGUACCUAAUCAGAAAGCCACGGCUAACUACGUG